This 3277-nucleotide long non-coding RNA is filed under the name Sus scrofa (pig). Its description in RNAcentral is "lncRNA (ENSSSCG00060039139.1)". Lineage: Eukaryota; Metazoa; Chordata; Mammalia; Artiodactyla; Suidae. The record is from RNAcentral.
CCAAAGUAUUUUAAAUACGUUAUGUAAUUUUGACAAGAAUUUAUGAGCUGGUCACUACAGCAUAAAAAAGUUUUAUAAAGUUACUCUAAGUUAGUGCCGAGAUUAUAAGGGGAAGUCAAAUCCACUUUUUAAAGUCCUUUUAGCUUUCCCAGAUUUCAUCUGAACACUUUUAUGACAGGACAUCAUUCUCUAUAGCAUGAGCACUAAACUCAAAACUUUUCAAGUAGAGAGUCUGUUGUCUAUGGAGACCACAGGUGCUGUAUAUCAGACAAGCUGGAGCAGAGCCUUGUAACACAGUUUGUUCUUGCAAGAGGCAAGUUAAUGCAUGCUUUGAACAAGUUCACCUCCCAAAUGAUUUUUGCUUUUCAAGAAACCUUUUUAACAUUUUCACAGCACUCAUUCCCUCUAGUAAUCGAGUUUCUGGCAUUUUAUUUUCUUUUAUGCUCUUUCUCUUGGCAGAUGAACCAGGCUGCUGCUUUCUUCCUGUGACAUGAGUUCAAAGGGAAAAUCAAAGGAGUUCAAUUUGUUUUUUCUUAACCUAAUUUUCAACAUAUAAAGUAUAUUGAUGCUUGCUCACUACACACUGUUAACGUCUCCCAAAAUAUUCCUGUGCCAGUUCUAAUGGAGAAAAUUGGAAAUAAGGCAAUAACUUUAGGGUUUUACCUAAUUAGGGGGGAUGCAAGAUCUUGAUAGUGAAUCGUUUUUGUAAAUAAAGUUUUACUGAAACCCAGACACGCCCACUCACACCCAUGUUGUCUGUGGCUGCUUAUCCCUUACAACAGCAGAGUUGAAAAGUGACAAUAUGUUUACUAUCUGUCCCUAAACAAAGUAAGUUUGUCUAUCCCUGACCUAAAUGGUCAGCAUUAUUUAAUUAGGAUAAUGUACCAAAUCUUUAACAUAACUUUUAAAAAAGCCUUGCAUAAUCUGGCCCCUUUCUCAAUUCAAACUCUCUUCCCCUCACCUUUGUGCUCCAGACACAGUGACAUUUUUAGAACUCCGAGGGGAGGGCUCGAGGAUCUCUCCAGAGCACACCAGGAGAGAGACUGUGUUUAUGUGAAUUUCUCACCCAUUAAACACUUUCCCCAAACCAUUGCCCAAAUCUGCCCACCUGGCUCCUACUCAUACUCUAAAGGUCACUUUCUCAGGGAACUGCUUCCUAAGUGAUACCUGUCCCGAAAAAUCACAUUCUUCAGUGACACAAUCUCGAGAACCCUGCUCCUUAUGCUACCUCAUGUUGUAUUAUACCCCUGUUAGCCUGAUUCUUUGAUUACAGUCUGCAUCCGCCUUAGGCUGCAAAGGUCUUUAAAGAAAGGAAAAGUCUGUCUUUUUGUUCGGUGUCUGUGCUUAAGACAUGGAGUAGGUGCUCAGGAAAAAAAAAAAAAAAAAAAAGUUGAAAGAAUAACUGGAUUUGUGGGAUACCCAGACUUAAUAUUUGAAGUUUUGAGUAUUCACAAGCAGUUCCAAUAAUUUGUUACAGACAUUCACUGGUAGUUCCCCUCAGGCUCUGCUUUGAAUCUCAAAAUUGUUUGGUUAAUGUGUAAGUUUAUUAGCUAGUCAGUGAAGCUGGGAGACACCCAAGAUACUUAUUUUAUCACAGCCUUGUGUCUCCAUUCUCAUCUUCUCUCAUUGAGUAAAUCAGGAAAUAUUUUUUUUAAUGGCUUCUUUUUAAAAAACCAGUUCCCCUUAACACAAAGUCAACUGACAGUGCUGAAGUUUCUUAACUAGAACAUUUGGGAUUGAUGUAAAAGUAAACCAUGGAUUCUACAGUAUUUCCAAUCUAGAAAGGGAAUGAAUCAAACAUUCUCUGAGGCAAACAAGAAAAGAAAAUUAAAGUCUUGAAGUUGUUUCAAUACAUUUUCUUCUUCUAUAAAACUAUUUAUGAAAAAGGUGGUAAAACUAGAGAGAGACUGAAAAUAAAGUAAUUUUGUGAAGUGAGAACAUAUUCAGAAAAUACUUGUCUCAACAGAAACCAAAUGCAGGUGAAAUGUAAAGUAGAUAUAAUCAUUCCUCUGAAGCGAGAGAGGCUGAAAGCAGCACUGAAACUAAUGAGCCAGCAUUUAUAGUAAGUAAAAGUUCACAUAGUUUAAGAAUUUCUCUUUCUCUUUCAAAAAGAAACAUUAAGAAGAGAGGCUGAAAGGUAAUCACAUAGCUACAUGAAGUUCUUUCUAACCAAAGGUGAUCUACAGAAAGGGGUUAUGGGCCAGAGUACAGGCCAGAAAAUGCAUUUAUCACAGGUAGCACUGGAAUAAGACACAUCUGUGAACAGAUCCAAAGAGAAUACAGCCAGAUACAAAUUAUGUCUUCUAUUCGGCUGCACAGAGCAGCUUUACUUCAUCAUCCCGGGAAUCCCAGUUUGGGGUUAUAAGAAUAAAAACUUAUAUCCAUAUAUUGCCAUUGAGUCACAAGGCUACUACACAAAUCAGUUUCAUAAAAGCUAUGUUUGAAGAAUAUCUUGCAACACAACCAUGAACCUUAACGUCUCAGACUUUCUUGGGAUUCACAUAUACUAGGAGGACAUUACAGUUUUGUUUUUUUUGUUUUUUUGUUUGUUUGUUUUUUGUCUUUUUGCUAUUUCUUGGGCCGCUCCCGCGGCAUAUGGAGUUUCCCAGGCUAGGGGUCUAAUCGGAGCUGUAGCUGCCAGCCUAUGCCAGAGCCACAGCAACGCGGGAUCUGAGCCGCGUCUGCAACCUACACCACAGCUCACGGCAACGCCGGAUCGUUAACCCACUGAGCAAGGGCAGGGACUGAACCCGCAACCUCAUGGUUCCUAGCCGGAUUCGUUAACCACUGUGCCACGACGGGAACUCCAGGACAUUACAGUUUUGAAGGUUCCAAGAUACAUUCCUCACAAGUUUCAACAGCAUUCACAUCAUACACUAUUCAUUGUGAUACACUACUAUAACAUAGUACGAAAUAUGGCAAAAUUCAUUUCUUUUGUUAUUGAUGUUUCUUUUAAAUAGAAAAAUCAAAAUGUAGAGUGCACCCUCAAGCAAAGCAUCUUCCUCUCUCAUGUUGAUCUUUUCCAGUGUUCCUAUUACUCCUUUUCAUCCUACAAACCUACACUGGGUGACUCUUUUCAACUGGUACUUAGAUACUUGCAUGUGAGUAUCUAUCAGGCACUGGAAAUAAAAUGGGGAAAAAAUCCAAAUGGAAAUUCUGGUUUCCUCCUGAAAUCUUUCUUUUAAUCAACUUAGACAACUGAGGGUCAUGCCUAACCUCUUUUUCUUCCUCACACUCUACACCUACAUCUAAUCAGUUAUCAGUUCUGAGUCAAACU